UUGUAGGACAAUCUGUCAUUAAGUAGGAAUAAAUUACUCUAAAAAAGAAUCCAAGUUAGUUUUCCCUUCAAUUUAACCAUGUUGU
This 85-nucleotide microRNA precursor is filed under the name Marmota monax (woodchuck). It matches the Rfam family "mir-684 microRNA precursor family". The record is from RNAcentral. Lineage: Eukaryota; Metazoa; Chordata; Mammalia; Rodentia; Sciuridae.